CAGGGGGCGCGAGCGUUGCUCGGAAUCGCUGGGCGUAAAGCGUACGCAGGCGGACCGUUAAGUCGGAUGUGAAAUCCCAGGGCUCAACCCUGGAAGUGCAUUCGAUACUGGCGGUCUUGAGUACGGGAGAGGAGAGCGGAAUUCCUGGUGUAGAGGUGGAAUUCGUAGAUAUCAGGAGGAACACCGGUGGCGAAAGCGGCUCUCUGGCCCGAUACUGACGCUCAUGUACGAAAGCGUGGGGAGCAAACAGGAUUAGAUACCCUGGUAGUCCACGCUGUAAACGAUGAGUGCUAGCUGCUGGGAAUCCUUUUAUUUUCUCAGUGGCGUAGCUAACGCGUUAAGCACUCCGCCUGGGAAGUACGGUCGCAAGACUA
RNAcentral lists this ribosomal RNA (374 nucleotides) under uncultured organism. Its description in RNAcentral is "bacterial SSU rRNA". It matches the Rfam family "Bacterial small subunit ribosomal RNA", at positions 526 to 896 of the family's 1533-position model. The record is from RNAcentral.